This 387-nucleotide ribosomal RNA is filed under the name uncultured bacterium. RNAcentral describes it as "partial 16S ribosomal RNA". It matches the Rfam family "Bacterial small subunit ribosomal RNA", at positions 97 to 520 of the family's 1533-position model. The record is from RNAcentral.
GGCGCACGGGUGAGUAACGCGUGGGAACCUACCUAGUGGUACGGAAUAACGCAGGGAAACUUGUGCUAAUACCGUAUAAGCCCUUCGGGGGAAAGUUUUUCGCCAUUAGAUGGGCCCGCGUCAGAUUAGCUAGUUGGUGAGGUAAUGGCUCACCAAGGCGACGAUCUGUAGCUGGUCUGAGAGGAUGAUCAGCCACACUGGGACUGAGACACGGCCCAGACUCCUACGGGAGGCAGCAGUGGGGAAUAUUGGACAAUGGGGGAAACCCUGAUCCAGCCAUGCCGCGUGAGUGAUGAAGGCCUUAGGGUUGUAAAGCUCUUUCACCGGUGAAGAUAAUGACGGUAGCCGGAGAAGAAGCCCCGGCUAACUCCGUGCCAGCGGCCGCGG